RNAcentral lists this ribosomal RNA (254 nucleotides) under uncultured bacterium. Its description in RNAcentral is "partial 16S ribosomal RNA". It matches the Rfam family "Bacterial small subunit ribosomal RNA", at positions 524 to 776 of the family's 1533-position model. The record is from RNAcentral.
CACGUAGGGGGCAAGCGUUGUCCGGAUUUAUUGGGCGUAAAGAGCUCGUAGGCGGUUCGGUAAGUCGGGUGUGAAACCUCCAGGCUCAACCUGGAGACGCCACCCGAUACUGCUGUGACUCGAGUCCGGUAGGGGAGCGUGGAAUUCCUGGUGUAGCGGUGAAAUGCGUAGAUAUCGGGAGGAACACCAGUGGCGAAGGCGGCAUCCUGGACCGAUACUGACGCUGAGGAGCGAAAGCCAGGGGAGCAAACGGG